AGAACGAACGCUGGCGGCAUGCCUAACACAUGCAGGUCGAACGAGACCUUCGGGUCUAGUGGCGCACGGGUGCGUAACGCGUGGGAAUCUGCCCUUGGGUUCGGGAUAACAGUUGGAAACGACUGCUAAUACCGGAUGAUGACUUCGGUCCAAAGAUUUAUUGCCCAGGGAUGAGCCCGCGUAGGAUUAGCUAGUUGGUGAGGUAAAGGCUCACCAAGGCGACGAUCCUUAGCUGGUCUGAGAGGAUGAUCAGCCACACUGGGACUGAGACACGGCCCAGACUCCUACGGGAGGCAGCAGUGGGGAAUAUUGGACAAUGGGCGAGAGCCUGAUCCAGCAAUGCCGCGUGAGUGAUGAAGGCCUUAGGUGUAAAGCUCUUUACCCGGGAAGAUAAUGACUGUACCGGAGAAUAAGCCCCGGCUAACUCCGCGCCAGCAAGCCG
This 442-nucleotide ribosomal RNA is filed under the name uncultured soil bacterium. Its description in RNAcentral is "bacterial SSU rRNA". It matches the Rfam family "Bacterial small subunit ribosomal RNA", at positions 26 to 517 of the family's 1533-position model. The record is from RNAcentral.